RNAcentral lists this ribosomal RNA (305 nucleotides) under uncultured bacterium. RNAcentral describes it as "bacterial SSU rRNA". It matches the Rfam family "Bacterial small subunit ribosomal RNA", at positions 333 to 654 of the family's 1533-position model. The record is from RNAcentral.
UUGUGCCUACGGGGGGCAGCAGUGGGGAAUAUUGCACAAUGGGGGAAACCCUGAUGCAGCAACGCCGCGUGAAGGAAGACGGUUUUCGGAUUGUAAACUUCUGUUCUUAGUGAAGAAGAAUGACGGUAGCUAAGGAGCAAGCCACGGCUAACUACGUGCCAGCAGCCGCGGUAAUACGUAUGGUGCAAGCGUUAUCCGGAUUUACUGGGUGUAAAGGGAGCGCAGGCGGCGCGUUAAGCCUGGUGUGAAAGCCCGCGGCCCAACCGCGGGACUGCAUUGGGAACUGGCGCGCUGGAGGGCCGGCG